This 1177-nucleotide long non-coding RNA is filed under the name Pan troglodytes (chimpanzee). Its description in RNAcentral is "long non-coding RNA NONPTRT000774". Lineage: Eukaryota; Metazoa; Chordata; Mammalia; Primates; Hominidae. The record is from RNAcentral.
AACUGUUUCAGUAUAAUAAAGAAAAUAGAAUAAGAAUAGUCAUAAUACAAAUUAGAUACAGCGAUGAUCAUGAACAAUUAUCCAUCAUUAUAAACAUUAUUAAUCAUUAGCUUUUAAUAUUACUCUGUUGCAUUAAUAAUAUAACCUAGGAAUAACCGGCGGGUGUAGGGUCAGGUGCUGAAGGGACAUUGUGAGAAGUGAAUAGAAGGCAAGAGGGGAACCUUCUGUCACACCCGCAUAAGGGCCGCUUGAGGGCCCCUUGGUCAAGCGGUAAUGCCAGUGUCUGGGAAGGCACCCGUUACUUAGCAGACCGCGAAAGGGAGUCUCCUUUCCUUGGAGGAGUCAGGGAACGCUCUGCUCCACCAGCUUCUUGUGGGAGGCUGGAUGUUAUCCAGGCCUGCCCGCAGUCAUCCGGAGGCCCUGGUGCCUGUGGAGGGGCUUUUACCUGCUUGAGGUGCACAACCGCCCCCACCUUCCCCAUCAACGGGCUCUUCCUGCUCCACCGGGUCUCCGAGGGUGUCAAAACGCUCCCCGUCUCCCACUUCUCGUCCGGCCGUGGGGGUGGCGGUGAGGGGCCUGGCCAAGGCCGCCCGCCCUUCCCAGAGGCCGCCCCAGCUCGCCGCCCCCUCCCGCCUGGGAGUGAGUCAUGAUGUGCGUGACCUGUGGCUGGCGGCCUGCGCCCUGCACCUUGUCCCACCCUUGCGUCAGCGCUGACAGCGGGAAGCCCCCAGGAUCGCUCUGACUCACGUGCACCAGGAAGCUGCCCGGAUGCCCCUUCUGCAGCAACAGCUUCUCAGCCUCCUUGCCAGACAGGCGCCCGUGGUACCACCUGGGCCAGGCACAGGCGAGCACAGAGACCGCCCAGCACCACGUCCAACUCUCACCACCUUCCCAGGGCAUCGGCCCCCCGCACCAAGUCCUCGUGUCCAGGAAGCUGCCCACCGGUCCUCCAGGAGGCCUUCAACCAGACCCUGUCCAUGCCCAGCCAGGGCCCACCCACCUGACGGACAGCGUGAAGCCCCCCGGGCUGCUCUCGCUGGGCCUGGCAAGGAAGUCCCCACGCUGACCUCUGGAUAGGAACAGCUUCUCCGCCUCCACCCUGCUGACGUUGGGGUGAAGCCACCUGGAGUGGGGAGAGCAGGAUCUCGGACUUCCAGCCUCCAAAGUUGAGGGAAGG